RNAcentral lists this unclassified non-coding RNA (415 nucleotides) under Hevea brasiliensis (rubber tree). The record is from RNAcentral. Lineage: Eukaryota; Viridiplantae; Streptophyta; Magnoliopsida; Malpighiales; Euphorbiaceae.
GUAUGGAACACAAGUGAUAGGAUGAACCAGACCUUGACGUAGCACUAUCUCCACAAUCUGCAGUAAGUGUAGCAACAAAUAUAAAACUCAAGACAUAACUAAAAUUCUGAGAGAACAAUGUGCUUUCUAACAAGUGCACAAGAGCAAUCAGACGAAGAAAUUUUUGAUCUAGUACCUAUACUGGAACAUCAGUUAAAAAUUGCUGGAAAAAAAUAUUUCCAUGUUCAAAGUGAUAAUUAUUCAACUGUUAUUUGUGCUCAUAACUUUCAUUUUCCAAAUUUCCCAAGGCCAUACAUGAAAUGUUAAUUGCUUUGCCUUUCUCCUCUGAAGUAAGCUGUGGCCAGGUUUGCAUUGAGAGACCAGGACAAGAAAACAGAAUGUAGGUUCAUACCUUAAGUGCAGUCUGGCGAACUUG